Molecule: ribosomal RNA, 495 nt
Filed under: uncultured bacterium
Lineage: Bacteria
Description: partial 16S ribosomal RNA
Rfam family: Bacterial small subunit ribosomal RNA
Source: RNAcentral
GAUGAACGCUGGCGGCGUGCCUAAUACAUGCAAGUAGAACGCUGAAGGAGGAGCUUGCUCUUCUGGAUGAGUUGCGAACGGGUGAGUAACGAGUAGGUAACCUGCCUGGUAGCGGGGGAUAACUAUUGGAAACGAUAGCUAAUACCGCAUGACAACAGUUAUUGCAUGAUAACUGUUUAAAAGGGGCAACUGCUCCACUACCAGAUGGACCUGCGUUGUAUUAGCUAGUUGGUGAGGUAACGGCUCACCAAGGCGACGAUACAUAGCCGACCUGAGAGGGUGAUCGGCCACACUGGGACUGAGACACGGCCCAGACUCCUACGGGAGGCAGCAGUAGGGAAUCUUCGGCAAUGGACGGAAGUCUGACCGAGCAACGCCGCGUGAGUGAAGAAGGUUUUCGGAUCGUAAAGCUCUGUUGUAAGAGAAGAACGAGUGUGAGAGUGGAAAGUUCACACUGUGGCGGUAUCUUACCAGAAAGGGACGGCUAACUACGUG